GACGAACGCUGGCGGCGUGCUUAACACAUGCAAGUCGAACGGUAAGGCUCCAGCUUGCUGGGGUACACGAGUGGCGAACGGGUGAGUAACACGUGGGUGACCUGCCCUGCACUUCGGGAUAAGCCUGGGAAACUGGGUCUAAUACCGGAUAGGACCGCACCGUGAGGGUGUGGUGGAAAGUUUUUUCGGUGUGGGAUGGGCCCGCGGCCUAUCAGCUUGUUGGUGGGGUAAUGGCCUACCAAGGCGGCGACGGGUAGCCGGCCUGAGAGGGUGGACGGCCACAUUGGGACUGAGACACGGCCCAGACUCCUACGGGAGGCAGCAGUGGGGAAUAUUGCACAAUGGGCGGAAGCCUGAUGCAGCGACGCCGCGUGGGGGAUGACGGCCCUCGGGUUGUAAACUCCUUUCACCAUCGACGAAGGGUUUCUGACGGUAGAUGGAGAAGAAGCACCGGCUAACUACGUGCCAGCAGCCGCGGUAAUACGUAGGGUGCGAGCGUUGUCCGGAAUUACUGGGCGUAAAGAGCUCGUAGGUGGUUUGUCGCGUCGUCUGUGAAAUUCCGGGGCUUAACUCCGGGCGUGCAGGCGAUACGGGCAUAACUUGAGUACUGUAGGGGAGACUGGAAUUCCUGGUGUAGCGGUGAAAUGCGCAGAUAUCAGGAGGAACACCGGUGGCGAAGGCGGGUCUCUGGGCAGUAACUGACGCUGAGGAGCGAAAGCAUGGGGAGCGAACAGGAUUAGAUACCCUGGUAGUCCAUGCCGUAAACGGUGGGCGCUAGGUGUGGGUUUCCUUCCACGGGAUCCGUGCCGUAGCUAACGCAUUAAGCGCCCCGCCUGGGGAGUACGGCCGCAAGGCUAAAACUCAAAGGAAUUGACGGGGGCCCGCACAAGCGGCGGAGCAUGUGGAUUAAUUCGAUGCAACGCGAAGAACCUUACCUGGGCUUGACAUAUACAGGAUCGCGCCAGAGAUGGUGUUUCCCUUGUGGCUUGUAUACAGGUGGUGCAUGGUUGUCGUCAGCUCGUGUCGUGAGAUGUUGGGUUAAGUCCCGCAACGAGCGCAACCCUUGUCUUAUGUUGCCAGCACGUUGUGGUGGGGACUCGUAAGAAACUGCCGGGGUUAACUCGAAGGAAGGUGGGGAUGACGUCAAAUCAUCAUGCCCCUUAUGUCCAGGGCUUCACACAUGCUACAAUGGUCGGUACAGUGGGUUGCCAGUCCGUGAGGGCGAGCUAAUCCCGCAAAGCCGGUCUCAGUUCGGAUCGGGGUCUGCAACUCGACCCCGUGAAGUCGGAGUCGCUAGUAAUCGCAGAUCAGCAACGCUGCGGUGAAUACGUUCCCGGGCCU
RNAcentral lists this ribosomal RNA (1341 nucleotides) under uncultured bacterium. RNAcentral describes it as "16S ribosomal RNA". It matches the Rfam family "Bacterial small subunit ribosomal RNA", at positions 28 to 1381 of the family's 1533-position model. The record is from RNAcentral.